UACGGAGGAUGCGAGCGUUAUCCGGAUUUAUUGGGUUUAAAGGGUGCGUAGGCGGCUUUUUAAGUCAGCGGUGAAAUUUUGCAGCUUAACUGUAACAGUGCCGUUGAUACUGGGGAGCUAGGAUUUGGUUGCUGUGGGUGGAAUGUGUGGUGUAGCGGUGAAAUGCUUAGAGAUCACACAGAAUAUCGAUUGCGAAGGCAGCUCGCAAAGCCAAGAUUGACGCUGAGGAGCGAAAGUGUGGGGAGCGAACAGGAUUA
Molecule: ribosomal RNA, 257 nt
Filed under: uncultured prokaryote
Description: partial 16S ribosomal RNA
Rfam family: Bacterial small subunit ribosomal RNA
Source: RNAcentral